CCUACGGGAGGCUGCAGUGGGGAAUUUUGGACAAUGGGCGCAAGCCUGAUCCAGCAAUGCCGCGUGAGUGAAGAAGGCCUUCGGGUUGUAAAGCUCUUUUGUCAGGGAAGAAACGGGAUUGGAUAAUACCUAGUCCUAAUGACGGUACCUGAAGAAUAAGCACCGGCUAACUACGUGCCAGCAGCCGCGGUAAUACGUAGGGUGCAAGCGUUAAUCGGAAUUACUGGGCGUAAAGCGUGCGCAGGCGGUUUUGUAAGUCUGACGUGAAAGCCCCGGGCUCAACCUGGGAAUUGCGUUGGAGACUGCAAGGCUUGAAUCUGGCAGAGGGGGGUAGAAUUCCACGUGUAGCAGUGAAAUGCGUAGAGAUGUGGAGGAACACCGAUGGCGAAGGCAGCCCCCUGGGUCAAGAUUGACGCUCAUGCACGAAAGCGUGGGGAGCAAACAGGAUUAGAUACCCCAGUAGUCG
RNAcentral lists this ribosomal RNA (466 nucleotides) under uncultured Oxalobacteraceae bacterium. RNAcentral's name for it is "bacterial SSU rRNA". It matches the Rfam family "Bacterial small subunit ribosomal RNA", at positions 338 to 796 of the family's 1533-position model. Lineage: Bacteria; Pseudomonadati; Pseudomonadota; Betaproteobacteria; Burkholderiales; Oxalobacteraceae. The record is from RNAcentral.